This 377-nucleotide ribosomal RNA is filed under the name uncultured bacterium. RNAcentral's name for it is "bacterial SSU rRNA". It matches the Rfam family "Bacterial small subunit ribosomal RNA", at positions 523 to 898 of the family's 1533-position model. The record is from RNAcentral.
AUACGUAGGGGGCGAGCGUUGUCCGGAAUUACUGGGCGUAAAGAGCGUGUAGGCGGGUGUUUAAGUCAGGUGUGAAAGACCGGGGCUCAACUCCGGGGUUGCACUUGAAACUGGGCAUCUUGAGGGCAGGAGAGGAAAGUGGAAUUCCUGGUGUAGCGGUGAAAUGCGUAGAUAUCAGGAGGAACACCGGUGGCGAAGGCGGCUUUCUGGACUGACCCUGACGCUGAGACGCGAAAGCGUGGGGAGCAAACAGGAUUAGAUACCCUGGUAGUCCACGCUGUAAACGAUGGGCACUAGGUGUAGGAGGUAUCGACCCCUUCUGUGCCGCAGCUAACGCAAUAAGUGCCCCGCCUGGGGAGUACGGUCGCAAGGCUGAA